AAGUCGUAACAAGGUCUCCGUAGGUGAACCUGCGGAGGGAUCAUUAACACGUUUUAAAACACGUUUUAACUAACACCAACCAACCACGUGAACUAUUUAACACUCCUGGAAGAGAAAGAAUUCUGUCUCCUCUCACUAAUGAUAAGUUUACAAGCAAUUGUAAACAGUGAGUUUAGACUAACAUUGCAGUUAAGAGCUGACUUGUAAAGACCUUUCACUUUUGGGCUAAAUGCUCCUAUUAUCAUUCGAGCGAAAACAACCCCUUUCACCAUUUCUAUAACUAUUGACUGAUCUUUUUCUUUGCAACAUAAGAAAAAACCUAAUCAAAUAUCUAAGCACAACUCUUAGCAACGGAUAUCUUGGUUCUC
RNAcentral lists this unclassified non-coding RNA (368 nucleotides) under fungal sp. RNAcentral describes it as "partial internal transcribed spacer region". The stretch from base 1 to 46 matches the Rfam family "Eukaryotic small subunit ribosomal RNA", at positions 1786 to 1831 of the family's 1831-position model. Lineage: Eukaryota; Fungi. The record is from RNAcentral.